Molecule: long non-coding RNA, 2352 nt
Filed under: Panax ginseng (ginseng)
Lineage: Eukaryota; Viridiplantae; Streptophyta; Magnoliopsida; Apiales; Araliaceae
Description: long non-coding RNA (PGIN_LNC014588)
Source: RNAcentral
UCUCUCUAAAUUCAAGCAACUGAACAAAACAUAAAAGAUCGACAGCAACUCUGAGAUCGGAGAAGAACAUAUCGGAGAAACUUACUGCAACUGCAAGAUCUAUAACCAGAAAGUGAUGAACUGCAGAUCGAAGAAGAACAUAAAAGAUCGACAUCAACUUCAAGAUCUAUAACCAGAAACUUACUGCAACUGCACUGAUUGUUGAUCGUACUGCACUGAUUGUUGAUUUAUUACAAAUUUGUAUACUAAGGUAUUUGAGUUUUCAAUUUAUAUGCAUAGUUUUACCCCGUGUUUACUACGUAUUCGUUAAUUGGUUACUUUUCUCAAAUUUUUCGCUCUUUAAAUGGUCACAAAGUCAGAAUAAUUAUGAAUGUUUUGAAUGCAAAAUGCAUUUUAAAAUAUUUUAUACCCUGGUUACUAAAUACAUAUAAAUUGGUUACUGUUUAUUAUUGAUUUGGUUACUGUUUAUUAUUGAUUUGAUUACUGUAUAAUGUUUAUAUGCUUGUUUUAUAAUUUUAAAGUUUAUCCUACUGAUGUUUUUUAUAUUAAUGAUUACUUAUUAAAUACAUUGGUUACCUUCCUGCAACUGUUGGUUACUGUCUAAUCUGAAUUUGGUUAGUAUAUAAUGCUGACUUGGUUACUGUGUAAAAUUGCAAUGGUUACUGCAUAAUAUUAUCCCCAGUUCAUGAUCUGGUUACUAACAUUAUGUAGUUUGGUUACUGUCUGACAUUGAGUUGGUUACUUUACAGACCAUAAACUAACAGUAACCAAAAACAUACUAAAAAGUUGCUUCAUCUGAUAUAUUGGUUACUGUCUAAUAUGUAUUUAGAUACUGUAAGAUGUUUAUUUGGUUGUUGUAUACUUUAAAUAUUUAUUUGGUUACCCCGUGGUUACUAUAUACUCGUAUAUUGGUUACCUUUCUUAAGUUUUUCGCUCUUUGAUUGGUCACAAAGUCAGUAUACUGUCUAUUUAGAUUGCAAACUGAAUGUAAAAAUAUGUUUUAUAUUCUGGUUACUAAGUACAUAGAACUUGGUUACUGUUUAUUAUUGAUUUGGUUACUAUAUAAUGUUUAUUUGGUUGUUGUAUACUUUAAAUGUUUAUUCUACUGAUGUUUUUUAUAUUGAUGGUUACUUAUUAAAUACAUUGGUUACCUUUCUGCAACUGUUGGAUCUUUAAGUACAUAUAAAUUUGGUUACUGUAUAAUGUUACUUCUAAGUACAUAUACAUUGAUGGUUACUUAUUAAAUACAUUGGUUACUUAUACUGACUGACUAAUCUAAAUUUGGUUACUGUAUAAUGUUCUUAUGAUUACUGUAUAACAUUAGUGUGUUUUAUACUGAUUUUUUUUAUAUUGAUGGUUAAUUAUUGACUACAUUGGUUAACUUCAUACAACUGUUAGUCUUUAGUUGGUAACAAAUUCAUUACUGAUUGUUUUGGUUGUAAAAUGAAUGUAAAAAUAUUUUUUAUAAUCUUGGCUACUAAUUACAUAUAUCUUGGUUACUGUAUAAUAUGUAUUUAGAUACUGUAAGGUGUUUAUUUGGUUACUAUAUAAUGUUAUUGUGUUUUAUAAUUGUUUCUUUUAUAUUGGUGGUUACUUAUUGACUACAUUGGUUACCUUCAUACAACUGUUAAUCUGAUUAUAUAUAUUAAUUGUUGUAUACUAUUUAAUUGGUUACAGUAUAAUGUGUAUCUGGUUGCAGUAACAAUUUGGCAAUUUCUGUCAAGUUUGGAGUGUCAGAUUUUGGCGUUUUCGGAGCCUAAUUUCAUUGAAAACGGGUCAACGAUAACUUGACAGUAAUCAAUUAUUUAGUCAUGUUAGACAGAUGUUGGAGUGUCUCGACAAGUUACAUGUGUAUUUGGUUACAUGGAUUCAUUACAUAUGCACCAGGCAAGUUAGGAUUAUCACCCUUAUUUAUGUUUCUCUAUCUUUUUUCGCAUACAAUUCACGUCAUCCUCUUCGAUUCGUUGUCGGAUUCACAACCAGUUUGCAUAGUCUAAAAGUCCUUUAUUUUUUUGAUUAUUUUUUAAUUUAUUUUUGCUGCACUUGUUGAUUUACAGGUUGUUCAAGUUAGUGAGAAUAANNNNNNNNNNNNNNNNNNNNNNNNNNNNNNNNNNNNNNNNNNNNNNNNNNNNNNNNNNNNNNNNNNNNNNNNNNNNNNNNNNNNNNNNNNNNNNNNNNNNAUAUGCGAAAAAGGAGAGAGAAACAUAAAUAAGGGUGAUAAUCCUAACUUGCCUGGUGCAUAUGUAAUGAAUCCAUGUAACAUGCAGUGUGAGGAUCAAAUUUAUUGCCUUCAUCCAUGGACAGAAAGCAGAAGUGGAGAAGAUGAAACCAUUAACGAGAAUAGAGUUUUCA